Molecule: long non-coding RNA, 1967 nt
Organism: Motacilla alba alba
Lineage: Eukaryota; Metazoa; Chordata; Aves; Passeriformes; Motacillidae
Exons: 3
Source: RefSeq, a predicted model, not a curated record
GCCUGGCAGGGGCACACAGGGCAAUUGCCCAUUGAAGGAUGCUCAGGUUUUGGUUCAGAAGGUGUUAUAAGCAUUAUCCAAGAGAAACUAAAACACAGCACAAGAAAAUAGAAAGUUAAAAUUUUUUCGACCAGUUACAUGCCAAUGCCAAGGCCAGACCAGCCAAUUAUCCUUCGGGUAGGAGAAAUCUGUGAUCUGAGCCCAGAUUUUACAACCGAGGCCCUUCUGCAAAGGAAUCUUAAAAUAGAAGCAGUAAACCAGGUAUCAGAAGGACAGAUAUUUGGUAUCAUCACUACAGCUGUUGCCACCAGUUCAGAUCAUACCGGCACCCGUAAAGUAGGUUUUUUGCUCUUUGUUCCUCCAAAGUGCUCUAGAAAACAGCACUGUAAAGCAUUGAAAACAUCAAAUGUAAUGCAAAUUAACAGGGCUCUCCCAUAUGAUUUUUUGUAAUUUGUUUUUUUUUUCUUUUUCUUUAAAUGCUUUCAUACUUCGGCAUCUGUAGCCUCAUGUGCAUAUUAUUGUGCCCUGUGUAUGAUUUUUUGUAUCCUUGUUUUGAAGUUCAUUGGAAGCCCCUUCAUUUCAGUGGAUAAUUAUUGGCCCCACUAAUCUCUGAGUAAAGUUAGAAUAGCCAGUGAAGGCAAAGAGGAUCUCAGAGUACCAAAAGGAUGAACUGUUCAUAUUUUUUAUUGUAGACAGAGAUAAUUUCAUUUCAUGUGUAAGAAUUAAAUUUAACAUUUUAUCUCAAGUUAUUUUUAGAAACUUCUUGCUAACAGAUAAUCCUUUGUAUGGAUUGGCAUAAAAGGGCAAAUGUGUAGUAGUAGCAGCUACUUGAGUGCAUGGUAGCUGUCCAAGAAAAAUAUUUGUGCCAGUCUUGCUGAGUCAGGGUAAGUUUCCAAAUAGGCAGAGUGUCCCUCUCAUUGACAGGAUUUAUUUCACACAAACUAAAUCAAACACUCUUCUGUCCUGUAGGCUCAGGGCAGUAGUGCAUACUGUUAGCAAGAGACAGCAAUCCUGUUCAACAGAGUGUGUAAGUAUCCUAGCGUUGUGUCUGUAUGAGGUGUGGUACACAGUAAAAUAGGUUAGCCAAAAAUUUAUUAUUUUGUCUAGACAGGUGUCACCUGGUGCCCAGACAGUCACAAUUUUUCACAUCUGAGAUUACUAAGAGGACAGUUCAUUAAAAUGCUUUGCUGUUGACUUGAAGAUGUCACAUGUAAGACAUACCAAUACCAAGUUGUCUUGCCCAUUUCCCUGCCAGUCCACAGCUGUUGGACUGCAGUGUGCUACUGACACCAAGCUAUAAAUCAGAGCAGGUUCUCUUGAAAUGUAGCUGUUCAGCAGCCUAGCGGCAUGCAGAUACUCUUGGCAAACUUCAUCAGGGCCAGUAAUGACACCCAAACCUGGGUGGCUUGUCAUUGCUGGAAGUUUUGAUCUGAACAUUUUGUACUGUCCUCUCCAGGAGCUCUUUCCAAACAAAAUGCAGUCUCCCAGCCCCAAAAAGACUUGCACCUGUAUUGCAGGUCAGGUACCCGCCUGGGGUAGGGUAGGGAUGGUUCUGCUCUAUGCAGGAGCUGCACAGCAACAGCUCCACCACUGUAAGAGGUGUGGAAACAUUCUCAUUUACUGGUGUUGCCCUGCUUCACAAACAGGUGCCUAUCUGGACCCUGUGAUCAGAUGAAAGUGGUGCAUUGCUGGGAGGAAAAGAAAGAGAGCUGUGCUGUCCUGCUGUUUGCCUUGAGAAGGGCACAAGUUACAACUGGCCACUGUACCACUAAGUAUGGAAAGAGGGCUCCAGGGAAUGCUCUUGGCUGUGCACAACAGCACUGUAUAAAAAGGAUGGCUGAAUUACCCAAAAUACUCAGGGUGACUCAAGGCACUGGGGACAUCCCAUCCUGCUGUCUGGUUCAGGCGACCUCAGAUGUGGAUUGGAAAGGGGCGAAGCCCGGCAGAAAUUGAACUGCUGAAGACAA